CACGACUGGACAAGAACAACUCAGUGUUAUACGAGGCUGGGAACAUUUGCAGUGAAAACACUUCUCUGGGGAGGCUGGAAAGGGCUCUUUGGGGCUUCCCUCACUCUGGGACUGUCUGGAAAUGGCUGAAGCUCUGUGUGUCUGGCAGAUACUUCCUUUGAGCUCAGGAGAAACCAUAUACUGCUGGAGAUGCUUGGCCCAGGCAGCAAGUCUGAGCUGCACAGAUAUGGAAGUGGGUGCCCAGAUAGCCAAGGGAUGGCACUUUGAUGUUCACAACAGGUGCUUAGGAAGUAGCUAAACUGUGAACCUUGGGAUGACUGAAUAACUUUCAGUUUUCAUAGCUGGAGAUAUGACUUAGAAAUGAGCAGAAAGCAAAUGGCAAGUAUUAAGUAUU
RNAcentral lists this long non-coding RNA (394 nucleotides) under Zonotrichia albicollis (white-throated sparrow). RNAcentral's name for it is "lncRNA (ENSZALG00000014375.1)". The record is from RNAcentral. Lineage: Eukaryota; Metazoa; Chordata; Aves; Passeriformes; Passerellidae.